CCUACGGGAGGCAGCAGUGAGGAAUAUUGGUCAAUGGGCGAGAGCCUGAACCAGCCAAGCCGCGUGAAGGAAGAAGGAUCUCGGGUUGUUAAACUCCUUUUAUAUGGGAGAAAAGUGAGGAACGUGUUCCAUUUGGUAUGUACCAUAUGAAUAAGCAUCCGCUAACUCCGUGCCAGCAGCAGCGGUAAUACGGAGGAUGCGAGCGUUAUCCGGAUUUAUUGGGUUUAAAGGGUGCGUAGGUGGUUAAAUAAGUCAGCGGUGAAAGUUUGUGGCUCAACCAUAAAAUUGCCGUUGAAACUGGUUGACUUGAGUAUAUUUGAGGUAGGCGGAAUGCGUGGUGUAGCGGUGAAAUGCAUAGAUAUCACGAAGAACUCCGAUGGCGAAGGCAGCUUACUAAACUAUAACUGACACUGAAGCACGAAAGCGUGGGGAUCAAACAGGAUUAGAUACCCCAGUAGUC
RNAcentral lists this ribosomal RNA (460 nucleotides) under uncultured bacterium. RNAcentral's name for it is "partial 16S ribosomal RNA". It matches the Rfam family "Bacterial small subunit ribosomal RNA", at positions 338 to 795 of the family's 1533-position model. The record is from RNAcentral.